GAGGCUCCUGUCCUGAAGGGCCCACAUGCGUUUCUCGAAGGAAGAAUGAUUACUGGGUAACUCUGUUGACAUUCACCAAACUGGAACUGAGUUCGUUUUCAAUUCACUCAAUAUCGUUAGUCUGAAUGCUAGGGGUUUGAGAAAUCUUACAAAAAGAUGGGAUUCUGCAGUGUGAUGGCGAUUGCAUGGUCUAUGGACCUCUAGGGGCGGUAUGCAAGCUGAAGUGGGUCUAGGGUGGCAGGUAAGGAACACAAUUGAACAUGAUGGAUAUGCAACAAGGAAAACCAUUUAGCCACUCAGGCCUGAAGUCUCAGUCAUAAAUUUCCCAGGACUUUGCUCUUCAAACUCCGCUUUACCUCAUAGAACGAGUAUGUUCUCCCCAACAUCAAGCACCAGAUGUCGCUGUCAUUACAUUGCCAACAGAAUACAGGGGAUUUGACAUGACAACGAAACUCAAAGUUUUACCGUGUAUUUAAUUGAAAAUAUGUAAGUCAAUGCAUUUAAUCUCCAGUUCUCUGACAGACUUGUAGACACACAGAUAUGUUUUGUGUAGGAAAACAUUUAUUCCUGUUAUGUCUGGGUGUGUGAAAUCCAAUGAAGGAAUUCCUGCAAUGAAAUCAAACACAUUAAU
This is a long non-coding RNA of Oncorhynchus masou masou (cherry salmon), 631 nucleotides long. RefSeq lists it as uncharacterized. The record is from RefSeq and is a predicted model, not a curated record. NCBI's taxonomy places the organism in Eukaryota, Metazoa, Chordata, Actinopteri, Salmoniformes, Salmonidae. The transcript is spliced from 3 exons.